This 257-nucleotide ribosomal RNA is filed under the name uncultured prokaryote. RNAcentral describes it as "partial 16S ribosomal RNA". It matches the Rfam family "Bacterial small subunit ribosomal RNA", at positions 521 to 777 of the family's 1533-position model. The record is from RNAcentral.
UAAUACGUAGGUGGCAAGCGUUAUCCGGAAUUAUUGGGCGUAAAGCGCGCGCAGGUGGUUUCUUAAGUCUGAUGUGAAAGCCCACGGCUCAACCGUGGAGGGUCAUUGGAAACUGGGAGACUUGAGUGCAGAAGAGGAAAGUGGAAUUCCAUGUGUAGCGGUGAAAUGCGUAGAGAUAUGGAGGAACACCAGUGGCGAAGGCGACUUUCUGGUCUGCAACUGACACUGAGGCGCGAAAGCGUGGGGAGCAAACAGGA